UUUCCUUUAAUUGGAGGAUGGAUAUAGCAGGAGGGUUGAAGAACUUAGAGCGUAAAUGCCUAUUUUUGAAAGUCAUCUUCAAAAAUAAGACAGUUGUGUUGAAUGAUUUGGGGAUCCUUUUUUCUAGCAUCUGAAAAUUAACCAUGUGUUUAAUUCCACAGGUUGAUUUCUUUAGGUCCCCACCACCCACCAUGAGAUUGGACAAGUCUAGUGGGAAGUGGUCUAGAGGUGAUGGAUCUUCUAGGAUUGCAAUCAGAGCUGGCUUCAUGAGUGUGCACAGGGGUCCCACACAUGAAUGAGUACUUUCCUUCACUGUCUUAAAAUUCUUAAUAGUGUUUGAACAAGGUAUCCCAGAUUCAUUUUCAUUUGCACUGGGCCCCACAAAUUAUGUAGCCAGAUUAGGUUACAGUCAACAUUUGGACAAUGUUAACUCUAUUUAUUGCACACUAUUUUUCUAAGAUAACUAGUAGAAAUGCUUGCAUGUCAGAAAUGUUGUUGUUAAAAUAUCUGAUGACUUAAGCUGUCUUACAUUUAGGCUGAUAUCUCUCCUUACAUCUUUUCUGCCAUUAACAUUAGGGAUUAGAUAGAUCAAACAAGGCAAGGAGAACUCAAGAAAGUCUGGUCACUUCAGUGAGUGUUGGUGUGUGAGGAGAAUCAAGUGAGAAGUGCUUUUAGAAACAUCCAUGCAGGUAUGAAGGAGCUCUAACAUGCCAGGCCCAUCAAUGAGAGAGACAACAUUUAGAUAGGAGUACUGGACAUUUGAAAAUUCUUACACCCUGUGAUGUGACAUGGAGAAGUGACCAACACAACUUUGCCAACUAUACUCCAUUCUUAGUAACUGCCGAUUAGGAAGGAUUUCUUUCUAAGUCUGUCACUAAUUCAACUGUUAUUCACAAGAGAAGUAGAGGCAAAUGAUAGCAGCUUGAUCGUUGAUUUUUGAUUUAGAUGAUCAAUGAUGUUCAGAAUAGUGUUUGUAUGUGUGAGCAUGGAUGUGUAUGUCGUGUGUGUGUCUGUGUAUGUGGUGUGUGUGUCUGUGUAUAUUGUGUGUGUGUGUGUGCAUGCGUGUGUGCAGGGUAGGUAUCACCACAUUCCCUGUGGUGGUGUGUCUCUUCUCUGGGAUUGGUUCUUCUAGAAUCUCCCACCUUUUAGAACCACUUUAAGAUAUUUAUUUAUUCUCUCCAACCAUCCUGGCAAUCUUUUUAUCCUUAAACAGGAAUAAAUUCCUACAGCUGAA
Molecule: long non-coding RNA, 1234 nt
Organism: Homo sapiens (human)
Lineage: Eukaryota; Metazoa; Chordata; Mammalia; Primates; Hominidae
Exons: 2
Source: RefSeq, a predicted model, not a curated record